UACAACAAGCAUGGCUUCCUCC
RNAcentral lists this non-coding RNA (22 nucleotides) under Rattus norvegicus (Norway rat). Lineage: Eukaryota; Metazoa; Chordata; Mammalia; Rodentia; Muridae. The record is from RNAcentral.